GUCAUGCUACACUAUACUGGGGUGAUGGGGGGGGGGUAAACAUGGUGGAGGUGCUCCGUCAUGCUACACUAUACUGGGGUGAUGGGGGGGGGUCAACAUGUUGGAGGUGCUCCGUCAUGCUACACUAUACUGGGGUGAUGGGGGGGUCAACAUGUUGGAGGUGCUCCGUCAUGCUACACUAUACUGGGGUGAUGGGGGGGUCAACAUGUUGGAGGUGCUCCGUCAUGCUACACUAUACUGGGGUGAUGGGGGGGGGUCAACAUGUUGGAGGUGCUCCGUCAUGCUACAC
Salvelinus fontinalis (brook trout) is the source of this 289-nucleotide long non-coding RNA. RefSeq lists it as uncharacterized. NCBI's taxonomy places the organism in Eukaryota, Metazoa, Chordata, Actinopteri, Salmoniformes, Salmonidae. The transcript is spliced from 5 exons. The record is from RefSeq and is a predicted model, not a curated record.